UACGUAGGGGGCAAGCGUUGUCCGGAUUCAUUGGGCGUAAAGAGCGUGUAGGCGGCCAGGUAGGUCGGUUGUGAAAACUGGAGGCUCAACCUUCAGAGGUCGACCGAAACCAUCUGGCUAGAGUCCGGGAGAGGAGAGUGGAAUUCCUGGUGUAGCGGUGAAAUGCGCAGAUAUCAGGAGGAACACCAAUGGCGAAAGCGGUUCUCUGGCAAUGUUCUGACGCUGAGGAGCGAAAGUGUGGGGAGCGAACAGG
Molecule: ribosomal RNA, 253 nt
Filed under: uncultured bacterium
Lineage: Bacteria
Description: partial 16S ribosomal RNA
Rfam family: Bacterial small subunit ribosomal RNA
Source: RNAcentral